Molecule: non-coding RNA, 71 nt
Organism: Ascosphaera pollenicola
Lineage: Eukaryota; Fungi; Ascomycota; Eurotiomycetes; Onygenales; Ascosphaeraceae
Source: the annotation of a GenBank genome assembly
ACGGUUGUAGGUUAGUGGUAAACCCAUCGUCUUCCAAACGAAUAUCACCGGUUCGAGUCCGGUCAGCCGUA